RNAcentral lists this long non-coding RNA (1293 nucleotides) under Prunus persica (peach). RNAcentral's name for it is "long non-coding RNA (PPER_LNC008597)". Lineage: Eukaryota; Viridiplantae; Streptophyta; Magnoliopsida; Rosales; Rosaceae. The record is from RNAcentral.
UGCCAUUGGAAUCCACAGUCCUCUAUACUCCUUAACCGCAGAGCCAAGUCCCACAAAAUCAAUACUUGAAACUGACGAUUUUCCCUUCUUGUCUACUAUCUCAUUCCCCAAGUUUCCCCCAGUACUUUCCUCCAAACCUAUAAGACAAUACAAAUACAAAUUUUACCCCACAUUUUAAGUUACAUAAUUCAUUCUUGAGAAGAAAUCCGAUAGUAUUUUGUGUUUGCUAUCACCUUUAGAAAACUCUAGUGCAUUGCUCAGAAAAAUAAUGGAAAAGCAAACUUAGAAAAAACAUAAAUCAAAUUAAUAACUUAUAGAUUAUUAAACCUUCUACCAUUGAUGAAGAAGCAAAUAAACAAACACCUAAAUUUAUGUAAGUCUACGGCAAGUACCUGUUUCACUUCAAUAGAACAUGGAAACUGUCACUCUUCAGCUCUAAUUUCAAAUCUUCUUUUUUCUUUUUCUUUUUUUUUUUUUCUCUUUUCAAAAUUACCUGAAAUUUUGUGCCAUUACUCUUGUUCAUGCCCAAAAUCGGAGGACAUCUUAGGUGGAAGUAGUGUCAAGUGUUCAGCAUAACAAGAGGGUUGUGGACCUUCGGCAAGGAGAGAUCCCACGAAAGAGAUAGGGAGGAAGCAAUCAUCAAGUUUCGGAUACCACUGUGGUACCUACCGAAGGCUCUCCGAUACUUAAGUCAACAAGAGUAGGUUAUGUAGUAAUUUUAGUAAAGUAACAGUAAAGGUGAAAAGUAAUUACCUUUUUUACUUGGGCACUAUUCCUCUUUUAUAGAGAAUUGAAAGUGAGAGUUUACACAAAGUUUUGACGUGGAACUUUGUCCAAAUCGUUGUAGUGGUGACGCGUGUCCAUGGUUUUAGGCUCUGUAACUGAGAGCUUCGGCAGGCUUCGGGUCUAUCUUCGUGCUGGUCCUUUAGUGCCAAAUGUGCUUAGUAUGGUAUAAACAAUAGUCCCUCAACUUUUGUGAUCAAGAAGUGGCUUUUGGGUUGGAUAAUCAAAUCGAGUAUUUUUGGUCUAGCAAGCGCCGUAGGGCGUUCCCCAAUCCCCCAAGUUUGCAAGCUAGAAGUUGCGUCGACCAUGGGGGUAACUUGGUGAAGCUGUUGAGUUGGCGUUUGUUGGGUAGGCGAACAAGCGAUCCACAGUAGACUAGUUAGUGGCACAUCUAAGUCUUUAAUAGAACAAAGUACUUCUACAUAUGGGCUAGCACAAUGUUGGAAUUCUAUUCGGCAAAUAAAAAGUUUUGCAUCAUGCAAAAGCUGCCCCAAUAUAGCUAGCUUAGAG